GCGCAGGGCGUGGCGGAUCACCACGUCACGGAAACGGACGCCUUUUAAACGGGCGGUGCGGAUAUAUUGCGCGGUCAUCACCUCGGUCAUGGAGGCGCGGGUCAUGCGCGCGAUAUAGCCCAUGCCAUAAAGUGCGACAGUGAUCACAGGCAGGCCAAAAUUCCAAAAUGUGAUGUUGU
This 179-nucleotide non-coding RNA is filed under the name Pseudorhodobacter antarcticus. Its description in RNAcentral is "Pseudorhodobacter sp. ZS3-33 Ruegeria cis52 sRNA". It matches the Rfam family "Ruegeria cis52 sRNA". From Rfam's summary of the family: Cis-encoded. Targets oligo/dipeptide ABC transporter. The record is from Rfam by way of RNAcentral. Lineage: Bacteria; Pseudomonadati; Pseudomonadota; Alphaproteobacteria; Rhodobacterales; Paracoccaceae.